RNAcentral lists this transfer RNA (65 nucleotides) under Falcolipeurus suturalis. RNAcentral's name for it is "tRNA-Tyr". The record is from RNAcentral. Lineage: Eukaryota; Metazoa; Arthropoda; Insecta; Psocodea; Philopteridae.
GGAAAGGUGACUGAACAAUAAGUGUUACUUUGUAAAUGUAAUUAUGAGAUUUACUCUCUUUUCCA